UCCCUGAUAGUAUAUCGGCUAGUACACCCGCCUGUCACUUCUGACCGGUCAAGUGCGCGGGAGAGCGGGGUUCGACUCCCCGUCAAGGAG
RNAcentral lists this transfer RNA (90 nucleotides) under Dentipellis sp. KUC8613. Its description in RNAcentral is "tRNA-Asp". It matches the Rfam family "tRNA". From Rfam's summary of the family: Transfer RNA (tRNA) molecules are approximately 80 nucleotides in length. Their secondary structure includes four short double-helical elements and three loops (D, anti-codon, and T loops). The record is from RNAcentral. Lineage: Eukaryota; Fungi; Basidiomycota; Agaricomycetes; Russulales; Hericiaceae.